UACGGGGGGUGCGAGCGUUGUCCGGAAUCACUGGGCGUAAAGGGCGCGUAGGUGGUUUGAUAAGGGUGUGGUGAAAGCCCGGGGCUCAACCCCGGGUCUGCCGUGCCGACUGUCAAACUCGAGGGCUGUAGAGGCAGACGGAAUUCCGGGUGUAGCGGCGGAAUGCGUAGAGAUCCGGAGGAAGACCGGUGGCGAAGGCGGUCUGCUGGGCAGUUUCUGACACUGAUGCGCGACAGCGUGGGGAGCAAACAGG
Molecule: ribosomal RNA, 253 nt
Filed under: uncultured bacterium
Lineage: Bacteria
Description: partial 16S ribosomal RNA
Rfam family: Bacterial small subunit ribosomal RNA
Source: RNAcentral